GACGAACGCUGGCGGCGUGCUUAACACAUGCAAGUCGAGCGGUAAGGCCCUUUCGGGGGUACACGAGCGGCGAACGGGUGAGUAACACGUGGGUGACCUGCCCUCAGCUCUGGGAUAAGCCUGGGAAACCGGGUCUAAUACUGGAUAUGACUCCAUGACGCAUGUUGUGGGGUGGAAAGCCUUGUGCGGCUGAGGAUGGGCCCGCGGCCUAUCAGCUUGUUGGUGGGGUGANGGCCUACCAAGGCGACGACGGGUAGCCGGCCUGAGAGGGCGACCGGCCACACUGGGACUGAGACACGGCCCAGGACUCCUACGGGAGGCAGGCAGUGGGGAAUCUUGCGGCAAUGGGCGAAAGCCUGACGCAGCGACGCCGCGUGAGGGAUGACGGCCUC
Molecule: ribosomal RNA, 392 nt
Filed under: uncultured bacterium
Lineage: Bacteria
Description: bacterial SSU rRNA
Rfam family: Bacterial small subunit ribosomal RNA
Source: RNAcentral